RNAcentral lists this unclassified non-coding RNA (141 nucleotides) under uncultured fungus. RNAcentral describes it as "sequence contains ITS1". Lineage: Eukaryota; Fungi. The record is from RNAcentral.
GCGAAUGCUUGGCCGGCCAUGUUGCUGGAACAAGCUCAGCUCCCAAAACCUUGUGGGUUGAAGUCUGGUGGUUUGGCGCCCUUCGGGGCGCCACUUUCAUGCCAAAAAAUGGAAUGUCGUCUGACGUUGAACUUUGAAUCA